RNAcentral lists this long non-coding RNA (2673 nucleotides) under Anolis carolinensis (green anole). RNAcentral describes it as "lncRNA (ENSACAG00000039447.1)". Lineage: Eukaryota; Metazoa; Chordata; Lepidosauria; Squamata; Anolidae. The record is from RNAcentral.
AUGUCAAGUCAUAGCAAUGAGAUUUUGCAAACAAGGGUCAAAUCUCCCCGCCCAGUCAGAGAAAGGCACCCCACAGAGAAAACAAAGCUCUGCCUUUUGCAGCAGGAAGGCCUGCUUAGGCAGAGGUUUAACAGAGCUUGGCAAAACCUGCCAACCAUAGCUGAUGCAAUAAAGGCAUCCUUUUGCCCAAAGGAAAAGGAAAUUCUUAGGCAAGAAUUUGUAAAGGCCUUCAAUAAUGGGAGUGCUAUUGCAGAAGAAAUAAUCUAUGUACUGAACAAAAUUAGCACUCCAGAGUCUUUAGAUAGGGCUAAGGAAAUUUCUUUUAGCCUACAAGAAGAGAGGAGGCGUUACAGCGCGGUUCUAUCUGAACCAGAGCCCAGUUCCUUAUUCAAAGGUGCAGAAGAAAGGGUUCAAGGCUCCCCAUGUGUAAGCCUUAGAUCUAGUCUGCUCAAGAUUCCAUCUAAUGAUGCUAGCCAUAAAUCCAAGCAUUCAUCUAGGCAUAGCAGUUCCUCCCAAUCCAUACAUUCAUUCAUCAGUACUUCUUCCAAAGCAGCCCACUACAACAGAGAGGCUGUCCGUUUGAAAAUUAGAAAAGAGGUUUUAGAAGCAGAGGCGUCUGCAGAAAUGGCUAAGCAAGACCUUUCCUUCAAUGAAGAGGAACUCCUCCUUCAACAGGCUAAAGCCAAGCAGAAACUGCUUCUAGCGCAGGCUAGGGCCCAGCAAGAAGCUGAUCUAGCGCAGGCUAGGGCCCAACAAGAAGCUGACCUAGCGCAGGCUAGGGCCCAACAAGAAGCUGACCUAGCGCAGGCUAGGGCCCAACAAGAAGCUGGCCUAGCACAGGCCAGGGCCCAGAGAGAAAUAGAGCUUGCAAUGGCUGAAGCCAAGGAAGAUGAGCUGCAACGGGAUCUAGAUCUGCUUCAAGUAAAAAGAGACACAGCACAAAAGAUAGUCAGAGCUAACGUUCUAGCCAAAGCCCUAUCACAGGAACUAACCCAAGAAAACCUUAGUUUCCUGCCAACACAAGAGCCUACAGCAAAGGUUUCAGCACAUCUGCAACUGGAAUCACCUGUAGUGCAGAGUCAUAUCUCCUUUCGCCACCUUGAAGAUUGCUCACCUGUUCCAGUGUUCACAACUUCAAGGCCUGCCCAUUCCUCAGAAGUACAGCAAAGCACGGCCGGGAGAGUGCCAUCAUCUCUGUCAGAGUCCAUCCCUCUACUUAGGCCUCAGAGAUACCACCUGUCUACUUGGGAACGAAAGGAUGACGUCUUUCAACAACAUCCAGAUGUCCAUUCAGAUUGGCAAGGCAUGGCCGGGAGUGAACCACCACAUUCAUCCCUGCAUACCAAGUCAAUUCUCCCAUCGCUGAAGAUGAAGGCUUCAGAGGUGCUGCCUGCCAGCAAUCUGCUGAACCCAGCAUCACCUACCAUCGAGACAGGAUGUGUUCAACCGAAGAACAUUGACUUCGUCGGGCCACAUCACACUCCUCAGAUGUACCCUUACACACUGGAGUCUCAAUUGGGUUCCCUCUUGAGAAAUCCAAGAAGAGACAUCAGAGACAAAGGCGUCCAGAAAUUCACUGACCGACCGGAUGACUACCUUCUGUGGAAAGUCACCUUCAUGAGGGCCAUUCGAGAUUUCAAGCUAGAAGCGGAUGAAGAACUGUCCCUUCUUAUGGCGUGGCUUGGACCCAGCUCAGCUGAGCAAGUAAAAAGACUUUAUGCUGCUCAUGUAGCAGACCCCCAAAGAGCUUUGUCCACAGCGUGGUCUCGCUUGGACCAGCGCUUCGGUGCGAGCACUGAGAUAGAAGCAUCCCUCAUGGAUCGACUCAACAGGUUCCCAUCACUGAAGAUGAAAGAUUGCAAACAGCUUUGGGACUUUAGUGAUCUUUUACUAGAGCUAGCUUCAGCCAAAGGAAAUCCAGAGCUGCCAGGUUUAGCAUGUCUGGACCAGCACACGUCGCAGAGUGCCAUCCUCUGCAAACUUCCUUUUCCUCUUCGAGAAGCUUGGGGGAAACAGGUGUUCAAGUACAAAGAGGAGAAUGCAAAUGUAUACCCGCCCUUCACCUUUUUGGUGGAUUUCGUCACUAGAGCAGCCCGCGAGAGGAAUGACCCUCAGACAGGUCUUCCCGCUUUGUACCAAGGCCUAAAGCCUGAAAAGACCUCCAAAGAAGACAAAGCCCAGGGCAAAGAUCUUAGAAGGAACCUGAGUGUCAAGAUAACAGACGCAACUCCUGCAACUUCUGCUCAACCAGUCAGCAACAACACCAUAUCCUGUCCCAUUCAUCAAAGGCCACACAGCCUAGCUGAAUGCAGAGAGUUCGCAAAGAAGCCUUACAAAGAACGACUCCAAAUAGUUCAAAAGGCCAAGGUGUUCUUUAGAUGCUGCAGCGCCACUAUUCACUUCUCCAAAGACUGCAAAGAAAAGGUUAAAUGCCAACACUGCAACAGCAUCAAGCAUUGCUCUGCAAUGCACAACUUCGAUUCCCCUCAAUUCAAAGCAAAGUCAAAUUCUCCUACCAAAGAAGAAACCAAAGAAGACCAAAGGCCUACAGAACCUCAGGUAGCCCUCAAGGCUCCUGCGGUUGCCUGCACCAAGCUUUGUCAAAAUAGCCACAAGCCCAGGAUUUGCCACCCAAUCUGCCUGGCAGAGGUGUAUCCAGACAAGCAGCCGUGA